GAUGAAGAACGCAGCGAAAUGCGAUAAGUAAUGCGAAUUGCAGAAUUCAGUGAAUCAUCGAAUCUUUGAACGCACAUUGUGCCCGCCAGUAUUCUGGCGGGCAUGCCUGUCUGAGCGUCGUUUCGACCCUCGCGCCCGGCUUCUGUCGGGGGCGGUGUUGGGGAUCGGCCACACCCUUCAGUGGGAGGCCGGCCCCUAAAUUCAGUGGCGACCACGCUGUAGCCUCCCCUGCGUAGUACUAAAACCACCUCGCAGGCGGAGAGCGGUGCGGCCCGCCGUAAAACCCCCCAACUUUUACAAGGUCGACCUCAGAUCAGGUAGGAAUACCCGCUGAACUUAAGCAUAUCAAUAAGCGGAGGA
This 360-nucleotide unclassified non-coding RNA is filed under the name soil metagenome. RNAcentral describes it as "partial contains 5.8S ribosomal RNA, internal transcribed spacer 2, and large subunit ribosomal RNA". The stretch from base 1 to 120 matches the Rfam family "5.8S ribosomal RNA", at positions 35 to 154 of the family's 154-position model. The record is from RNAcentral.